This 485-nucleotide ribosomal RNA is filed under the name uncultured Prevotella sp. Its description in RNAcentral is "bacterial SSU rRNA". It matches the Rfam family "Bacterial small subunit ribosomal RNA", at positions 907 to 1392 of the family's 1533-position model. The record is from RNAcentral. Lineage: Bacteria; Pseudomonadati; Bacteroidota; Bacteroidia; Bacteroidales; Prevotellaceae.
GAAUUGACGGGGGCCCGCACAAGCGGAGGAACAUGUGGUUUAAUUCGAUGAUACGCGAGGAACCUUACCCGGGCUUGAAUUGCAGAUGAAGGAUCCAGAGAUGGUGACGCCCUUCGGGGCAUCUGUGAAGGUGCUGCAUGGUUGUCGUCAGCUCGUGCCGUGAGGUGUCGGCUCAAGUGCCAUAACGAGCGCAACCCCUUUCUUCAGUUGCCAUCAGGUAAAGCUGGGCACUCUGGAGAUACUGCCACCGCAAGGUGUGAGGAAGGUGGGGAUGACGUCAAAUCAGCACGGCCCUUACGUCCGGGGCUACACACGUGUUACAAUGGGGGGUACAGAAAGCCGGCUGCCCGCAAGGUCAGUCCAAUCAAGAAAGCCUCCCUCAGUUUGGACUGGGGUCUGCAACCCGACCCCACGAAGCUGGAUUCGCUAGUAAUCGCGCAUCAGCCAUGGCGCGGUGAAUACGUUCCCGGGCCUUGUACACACCG